RNAcentral lists this ribosomal RNA (253 nucleotides) under uncultured bacterium. Its description in RNAcentral is "partial 16S ribosomal RNA". It matches the Rfam family "Bacterial small subunit ribosomal RNA", at positions 524 to 776 of the family's 1533-position model. The record is from RNAcentral.
UACGUAGGGUGCAAGCGUUGUCCGGAAUUACUGGGCGUAAAGAGCUCGUAGGUGGUUUGUCGCGUUGUCCGUGAAAACUCACAACUCAAUUGUGGGCGUGCGGGCGAUACGGGCAGACUGGAGUACUGCAGGGGAGACUGGAAUUCCUGGUGUAGCGGUGGAAUGCGUAGAUAUCUGGAGGAAUACCGGUGGCGAAGGCGGCAUCCUGGACCAUUACUGACGCUGAGGCGCGAAAGCUAGGGGAGCAAACGGG